AAAAGAGGGUAAGGAUUUUUUUGUCAACCACAGGGACAUGUGUCCCUCUCUCAUCCGGUUAAGGAAAAAAACAAAAAAAAGGAAGGAAAAAACCAUUAAGGGUCACACGGUUCCAACUAACAUUGAGGGAGGGGACCAUUAUUCUCUCUCAUUUUUGAACCAACCAAUGAUAAUCCAACAUGCCCUCAAUGUAUAGCCAAUAAAAAUGAAGAUUAUGAAAGAAACUGAAGAGGAUAUUCUUCUCAUUGCCCUCAAGUUUU
Molecule: long non-coding RNA, 260 nt
Filed under: Lathyrus oleraceus (garden pea)
Lineage: Eukaryota; Viridiplantae; Streptophyta; Magnoliopsida; Fabales; Fabaceae
Description: Pisum sativum (pea) long non-coding RNA (PSAT_LNC015876)
Source: RNAcentral